RNAcentral lists this ribosomal RNA (240 nucleotides) under uncultured bacterium. RNAcentral describes it as "partial 16S ribosomal RNA". It matches the Rfam family "Bacterial small subunit ribosomal RNA", at positions 15 to 244 of the family's 1533-position model. The record is from RNAcentral.
GAUCCUGGCUCAGGAUGAACGCUAGCUACAGGCUUAACACAUGCAAGUCGAGGGGCAGCAUGGACUCAGCUUUGCUGGGUUUGAUGGCGACCGGCGCACGGGUGAGUAACGCGUAUCCAACCUGUCCUUUACUCCGGGAUAGUCUCCUGAAAGGGAGUUUAAUACCGGAUGUGUUUGUCUUUCCGCAUGGGAGCGACAAAUAAAGAUUGAUUGGUAAAGGAUGGGGAUGCGUCCCAUUAG